Molecule: small nuclear RNA, 194 nt
Filed under: Moneuplotes crassus
Lineage: Eukaryota; Ciliophora; Spirotrichea; Euplotida; Euplotidae
Description: U2 spliceosomal RNA
Rfam family: U2 spliceosomal RNA
About the family: U2 is a small nuclear RNA (snRNA) component of the spliceosome (involved in pre-mRNA splicing). Complementary binding between U2 snRNA (in an area lying towards the 5' end but 3' to hairpin I) and the branchpoint sequence (BPS) of the intron results the bulging out of an unpaired adenosine, on the BPS, which initiates a nucleophilic attack at the intronic 5' splice site, thus starting the first of two transesterification reactions that mediate splicing.
Source: Rfam by way of RNAcentral
AUACCUUCUCGGCCUUUUGGCUAAGAUCAAGUGUAGUAUCUGUUCUUAUCAGUGUGAAAACUGGUAUCUUCCCUACUGGGAAGCUAUUUUCACAUUAAUUUCUUCAGGGUCGCUCAGCAGGAGGGUGUUUACAUCAUCCGCUAAGCAAUUUGUUGUCGAAGCAUCGCACCACCGCUUUGUUCAGCAAGCCCUAU